RNAcentral lists this ribosomal RNA (467 nucleotides) under Staphylococcus aureus. Its description in RNAcentral is "bacterial SSU rRNA". It matches the Rfam family "Bacterial small subunit ribosomal RNA", at positions 1048 to 1515 of the family's 1533-position model. Lineage: Bacteria; Bacillati; Bacillota; Bacilli; Caryophanales; Staphylococcaceae. The record is from RNAcentral.
GUUGUCGUCAGCUCGUGUCGUGAGAUGUUGGGUUAAGUCCCGCAACGAGCGCAACCCUUAAGCUUAGUUGCCAUCAUUAAGUUGGGCACUCUAAGUUGACUGCCGGUGACAAACCGGAGGAAGGUGGGGAUGACGUCAAAUCAUCAUGCCCCUUAUGAUUUGGGCUACACACGUGCUACAAUGGACAAUACAAAGGGCAGCGAAACCGCGAGGUCAAGCAAAUCCCAUAAAGUUGUUCUCAGUUCGGAUUGUAGUCUGCAACUCGACUACAUGAAGCUGGAAUCGCUAGUAAUCGUAGAUCAGCAUGCUACGGUGAAUACGUUCCCGGGUCUUGUACACACCGCCCGUCACACCACGAGAGUUUGUAACACCCGAAGCCGGUGGAGUAACCUUUUAGGAGCUAGCCGUCGAAGGUGGGACAAAUGAUUGGGGUGAAGUCGUAACAAGGUAGCCGUAUCGGAAGGUGC